AAGGAUAGUGGUGGCGCGAAGGAGGCAAUGAGGGUGAUGGAAGAGGCGUAGGUGAGCUGAGUCAUCAAAAACAGGGAAAACGGCAUCCCACAAUUGAGUUGGACUGCAAGGUCAAAUUAUGUCUCAAGUUAUCGACAAAUUCAGUUAAAAAAGAUAGAUCGACAUCAGGUGAUAACAACUGUACAAAGUUACUUUAAUAAAGAGGAACAUAUAUGUACGACGUGUCUGUGGUUUAUACAUGUGUACAGGUGAACCCAUC
Molecule: long non-coding RNA, 259 nt
Filed under: Setaria viridis
Lineage: Eukaryota; Viridiplantae; Streptophyta; Magnoliopsida; Poales; Poaceae
Description: long non-coding RNA (SVIR_LNC009889)
Source: RNAcentral